RNAcentral lists this long non-coding RNA (384 nucleotides) under Aotus nancymaae (Ma's night monkey). RNAcentral's name for it is "lncRNA (ENSANAG00000038694.1)". Lineage: Eukaryota; Metazoa; Chordata; Mammalia; Primates; Aotidae. The record is from RNAcentral.
AUUGCAACAGAGCGCACUCUGGUGUACAAAGCUGGGAGCCAGGAUGGGAGGAGAUUGCGAGAAGCAGUGCUUUGCCCAAGUUUGAAGUUGAUUUGUACAGCUCUAAGAAGUUAUUGUAAGUUACUAGGGUUGGAGCAGAAAUAUCAUUGAGAAGAGACUCUGGAAACUUCUGUUCAGUUUCUAAAGGAAAGAUAUACAUUUUGUUGCAAACACCUAACUUUCUGCAAAUAUUUAUUAUGGAUGGGAUAUUGUGUUUAACAGGCUAUUCCAUCACAACAAACAAGCUUCACUUGAAAAAAAAUCGAAGCAGGUUUUAACUGAAAGAUUCUCUCUUUUUACUUUGCAUAUCUUGGCUUUCCCUUGAUAUUAAAUAUAAGAAAUAAU